RNAcentral lists this long non-coding RNA (1810 nucleotides) under Triticum aestivum (bread wheat). Its description in RNAcentral is "long non-coding RNA (TAES_LNC024947)". Lineage: Eukaryota; Viridiplantae; Streptophyta; Magnoliopsida; Poales; Poaceae. The record is from RNAcentral.
CUAGCAAAAAUGCCCGUGCGUUGCAACGGGUACAAAAUAAAUACAUGUGUGUGCUUUGAAAUUUGAAGAAAAAAACCACUUUGCAUACAUGGCAUGAUUGCAACUCAGAUCUGAAUGAAAUUUUCCAUGUAUAUGAAAUAGCAAAGUUUAACACACUGCCCAGUGAUGUACCAGUGUCAAGUUUUGUCUUUCGUAAAUCAGGAACAGGUCUUGUAUCUCUUGUGAUGUGAUUCGUCCCUAUGUCAGAAGAUAGUUAGAAAUCAAAACAGGGUGUGGAAAGAAACAUGUAAAAGAGUGCUAUAGUGACUAUUGUUGGCAACAGGGAGGUAGUUAUAGACACAGUAAAAUAUGUUGGCAUGGCCUAUGAUUUUUGCUUGGAGAAAAUAACUACAGAAAAGAGCACAAAUACGUAAGUAAUUUGGUAUGAUGGCCCAACUAAUAUAUAUGUUGCUCUAAUAAAUUGGUUAGACAUUGGCUAAAAGCCAAAUAAUCCCUUUUUCACUACAGACAACAGCUAGAGCAAGGGAUUGAUGUAUCAGGUAAAGUAAACUGCCAAAUCCCUCUUUACUAUUGGAUAUUCUUCAGAAAACAUAGUCCUGCAUGUAUAUAUUGAGCAAAAUGAAUGAAGAAAAGGGAACAUAUUCACUCAUGGUAAAAGUAAUUGCACUCUGACAACUAAGAGAAUAAGUUAGAGCAGGGGAGAUUGCUCUUUCUAAGCUAUAAUAGCAUGCAAAAAAUGGGCCCUUUAUGAAGAUGAAGGUAGACCAUCAAGUUGCAGUAAGUGAAGUGCUGGACAGUGAUAUACAGUAUGGUUGUUUUGUAAUGUGUCCCCUCGUAUUUAAAUAUGCGAUGUGAUGCUACAGUAGACAGUAAACAAACAAAAAAUGGCCGUCAUACAUGAUUGUUAGAAAGAGGCCUCACAUUUGAUCGAUAUCAUGAUUGUUGCGCCAUGAUACACCAUUUUCAAUCUUGCAAAACCGACCGGCCUUAUUCAUGUCAGACCUGCACAAAGGUUAUAGGCGUCUCAGAUUCUAUUGAAUUCACUACUGGUUUAAUUCUCAAAAUUUGGUCUCAACAAAUAGAAAAGGUAAGUAAGUAUUAGCAUAAUGAAAUGUAAUUAAUGUCACUUAAAAACCAAAAUAGUCCACCCAAAUGCAGUUAUAAAAAUUCUAGAACGAGAAAGAAAGAGCCUGUGCAUUGCAAUAAUGGGGAUAAUACUUAUUUCUCUCCCUCCAUAUCUCCUUCGGGUGUUGAUGCUCUCGAUCUACUUGAGCAAGCGCAUAGUGUUAGAGCUUGAUGCUCCUCUAGAGGGCAGCACUCAUAUUGCUGUACAUCAAUCAGUGUAAAUAAUUAAGGAGCAACAUCAUAUAAAUUCAACGCAAAUGUUGCAGGCAUAUGAAAAAGAAUGUUUGUACUACAGAAAGAUCAUGGGCAGACGAAAGACCACAAAUUUGAAUACAUAUCACUUGUUCCCCUCUUCAUGAUCAUUGAAAUUAGAUGAAUUUGUAACCUUUUUGUUUCUCUAGUGAACAUGAAACAGGGACAACAAUUCAGAAACAAUAAACCCAAACAGAGGCUCUAUGAACUGAUUUUCUUUCAAGGGGAUACAUACCCCUGUCAUCGUCAUGUCCUCUGCAGAUCGAGCAUGCCGCCCCGACGGUAGACGUGGAGCCCCGUGAUCGCUGCCUAGCGCCUGCGCUCCCCCGUCUGCUGACUCCACGCCGUCCUAGCUCCAUUGGAGCCAGCCCAGCCUUUCUUCGCUCGUUCCGUUCCCUUUCCUUCGUUCCUUUCAUGUCCCCCAUCUGCACAU